RNAcentral lists this ribosomal RNA (460 nucleotides) under uncultured bacterium. RNAcentral describes it as "partial 16S ribosomal RNA". It matches the Rfam family "Bacterial small subunit ribosomal RNA", at positions 338 to 795 of the family's 1533-position model. The record is from RNAcentral.
CCUACGGGUGGCUGCAGUGAGGAAUAUUGGUCAAUGGACGAGAGUCUGAACCAGCCAAGUAGCGUGAAGGAUGACUGCCCUAUGGGUUGUAAACUUCUUUUAUAUGGGAAUAAAACGUUCCACGUGUGGGAUUUUGUAUGUACCAUAUGAAUAAGGAUCGGCUAACUCCGUGCCAGCAGCCGCGAUAAUACGGAGGAUCCGAGCGUUAUCCGGAUUUAUUGGGUUUAAAGGGAGCGUAGGUGGAUUGUUAAGUCAGUUGUGAAAGUUUGCGGCUCAACCGUAAAAUUGCAGUUGAUACUGGCAGUCUUGAGUACAGUAGAGGUAGGCGGAAUUCGUGGUGUAGCGGUGAAAUGCUUAGAUAUCACGAAGAACUCCGAUUGCGAAGGCAGUUCACUGGACUGCAACUGACACUGAGGCUCGAAAGUGUGGGUAUCAAACAGGAUUAGAUACCCUUGUAGUC